This is a long non-coding RNA of Gavialis gangeticus (Gharial), 132 nucleotides long. RefSeq lists it as uncharacterized. The record is from RefSeq and is a predicted model, not a curated record. The transcript has 3 exons. Lineage: Eukaryota; Metazoa; Chordata; Crocodylia; Gavialidae.
GCCCUGCUGGUAACAGCGUCACACUGAUGGCUUAUGUUCAUACUGUGGUCUAUUAUUACCCCCAGGUCUCUUUCGUUCGUGGUGCUGGUCAGCUUGGUGCCUCCAAGCCUGUAGGUGUGCAGCUAUGACCCU